AGUCGGCCGGUCUCGGGGGCGAAUAGUGUGGCCACACUUUCGUCUCAUCGUGAUGAUGUUUGUGAUUGAUGGAAUGAUGUGGAAAGUGGGGAGAUAAAUUGACUGGCCAGUCUUGAAAAGUUUUGUGUUCUCGUGAUAUUUUUCUGCUAUCUAAAACUCGAGAUCACUGGUUGAGCAGGAUGUUGCGGAGGAUGUUGAGCUAGCCUUAGGAUGCGUCGUGUCUUCAUACAUAGGCGUGAUCCUUGACUCUCUCUUUGAACCUUAUUUCCGCUGCUGUGUUUUUCUGAACUAUGUUUCUUUAUCAUAAAUCUUUUCCGUACUAUGUCAAGCAUGUUUUGGUUGUGUUAGGCUUGAAACGAGUUGUUACAAUGUUACUUGAAAAUGAUGUUUUUCACAACUUAAACUAAAUGUUAUUUUCUUA
Salvia splendens (bonfire salvia) is the source of this 421-nucleotide long non-coding RNA. RefSeq lists it as uncharacterized. The record is from RefSeq and is a predicted model, not a curated record. Lineage: Eukaryota; Viridiplantae; Streptophyta; Magnoliopsida; Lamiales; Lamiaceae. The transcript is spliced from 2 exons.